Molecule: ribosomal RNA, 497 nt
Filed under: Filiella pastinacae
Lineage: Eukaryota; Fungi; Ascomycota; Dothideomycetes; Mycosphaerellales; Mycosphaerellaceae
Description: eukaryotic LSU rRNA
Rfam family: 5.8S ribosomal RNA (bases 164-317)
Source: RNAcentral
GCGGAGGGAUCAUUACUGAGUGAGGGCUCACGCCCGACCUCCAACCCUUUGUGAACACAGCUUGUUGCUUCGGGGGCGACCCUGCCGGCACUACGUCGCCGGGCGCCCCCGAAGGUCUCCAAACACUGCAUCUUUGCGUCGGAGUUUAAAACAAAUUAAACAAAACUUUCAACAACGGAUCUCUUGGUUCUGGCAUCGAUGAAGAACGCAGCGAAAUGCGAUAAGUAAUGUGAAUUGCAGAAUUCAGUGAAUCAUCGAAUCUUUGAACGCACAUUGCGCCCUUUGGUAUUCCGAAGGGCAUGCCUGUUCGAGCGUCAUUUCACCACUCAAGCCUGGCUUGGUAUUGGGCGUCGCGGCUCCGCGCGCCUUAAAGUCUCCGGCUGAGCCAUUCGUCUCUAAGCGUUGUGGAUUUUCUAAUUCGCUUCGGAGUGCGGGUGGCCGCGGCCGUUAAAUCUUUAUUCAAAGGUUGACCUCGGAUCAGGUAGGGAUACCCGCUG